CUUCGGACUGGCCCAGGGAGGUCGGCAACGACCACCCAGGGCCGGAAAGUUGGUCAAACUCGGUCAUUUAGAGGAAGUAAAAGUCGUAACAAGGUCUCCGUAGGUGAACCUGCGGAGGGAUCAUUA
RNAcentral lists this ribosomal RNA (126 nucleotides) under Microcyclosporella mali. RNAcentral describes it as "partial 18S ribosomal RNA". It matches the Rfam family "Eukaryotic small subunit ribosomal RNA", at positions 1708 to 1831 of the family's 1831-position model. Lineage: Eukaryota; Fungi; Ascomycota; Dothideomycetes; Mycosphaerellales; Mycosphaerellaceae. The record is from RNAcentral.